RNAcentral lists this small RNA (584 nucleotides) under Pan troglodytes (chimpanzee). RNAcentral's name for it is "retained intron". The record is from RNAcentral. Lineage: Eukaryota; Metazoa; Chordata; Mammalia; Primates; Hominidae.
CCCGCUGGCUGUGAAUCCAGUCCAACUGCGUGCAAAUUACGCCUUUGCUUUAUGUUUACUGAGCAACAACUAUGUGCCACAACAGAUUUUUUUAUUACUCUAUUUUAUUUGCAAUCACAGAUCUGAAGUUUAUCAAUACAUGAUCUCCUCAAAAACGAAAGAAAUAAAACAAGUAUCUGCAAUUUGCUGAGAAUUUAAUAUGUGUCAGUUGCCUGCAAAACUCAUCAUUCUUUAGAGUUUCAAAUACAUCUGUGAGGACGCUAUUGUUGUUUCCACUUAUACAUGAGAAAACUUACAAAAGGCAAGAGACAAGCCCACGGUCACCCAGCUGGUAUUUUGCCAAAGACUGAGGAUUCGGAUAUGACUACGGAAAGGAAAACUAAGCUCCAUGAGAAGAGGGGACUUGCCCAUGUGGCUCAGGGCUCUAUGCCCAGUGCCCUAGACAGUGCCUGACUGUGUGUGCGGAAUGAAUGAAUAACCUUGGUGAUCCACCCAAUGGCACUGGCGCUCAGUGACCUCAUCUGAAAUGGAAUAAGGAUUUUUAUGAAAAUGCAUGUUUGUUGGAUAACACAAAGGAGAAUAUU